RNAcentral lists this long non-coding RNA (856 nucleotides) under Salmo salar (Atlantic salmon). RNAcentral describes it as "lncRNA (ENSSSAG00000099054.1)". The record is from RNAcentral. Lineage: Eukaryota; Metazoa; Chordata; Actinopteri; Salmoniformes; Salmonidae.
GGGAGGAGGGGGGGAGGAGGGGGGGAGGAGGAUUCAGGAAGGAGGAGAAGGUGGCAAAGAGCUUCCUAGUGUUAGAGGCAGAUGCUUGGAAGUUAGAGUGGUAGAAAGUGGCUUUAGCAGCAGAUACAGAGGAGACAAAUGUAGAGAGGAGGGAGUGAAAAGAUGCCAGGUCUGCAGGGAGGCUAGUUUUCCUCCAUUUCCGCUCGGCUGCCCGGAGUCCUGUUCUGUGAGCUCGCAAUGAGUCGCCAAGUCACGGAGCAGGAGGGGAGGACCGAGCCAGCCGGGAGGAUAGGGGACAUAGAGACUCAAAGGAUGCAGAAAGGGAGGAGAGGAGGGUUGAGGAGGCAGAAUCAGGAGAUUGGUUGGAGAAGGAUUGAGCAGAGUGAAGAGAUGAUAGGAUGGAAGAGGAUGCAAGAGGAGAGAGUAGCAGGAGUGAGAGCGAAGGUUGCGACGGCGCAAUACCAUCUGAGUAGGGUCAGAGUGAGUAGUGUUGGAGGAGAGCGAGAGGGAAAAGGAUACUAGGUAGUGAUCGGAGACUUGGAGGGGAGUUGCAGUGAGAUUAUUAGAAGAACAGCAUCUAGUAAAAAUGAGGUCAAGCGUAUUGCCUGCCUUGUGAGUAGGGGGGGACGGUGAGAGGGUGAGGUCAAAAGAGGAGAGGAGUGGAAAGAAGGAGGCAGAGAGAAAUGAGUCAAAGGUAGACAUAGGGAGGUUAAAGUCACCCAGAUCUGUGAGGGGUGAGCCAUCCUCAGGAAAGGAAUUUAUCAAGGCAUCAAGCUCAUUGAUGAACUCUCCAAGGGAACCUGGAGGGCGAUAAAUGGUCCACCCCUCUCCCCGUCUCAUCGACGACCAGCCGGCG